Molecule: ribosomal RNA, 497 nt
Filed under: uncultured bacterium
Lineage: Bacteria
Description: partial 16S ribosomal RNA
Rfam family: Bacterial small subunit ribosomal RNA
Source: RNAcentral
GAUGAACGCUGGCGGCGUGCCUAAUACAUGCAAGUCGAGCGAACAGAUGAGGAGCUUGCUCCUCUGACGUUAGCGGCGGACGGGUGAGCAACACGUGGAUAACCUACCUAUAAGACUGGGAUAACUUCGGGAAACCGGAGCUAAUACCGGAUAAUAUAUUGAACCGCAUGGUUCAAUAGUGAAAGACGGUUUUGCUGUCACUUAUAGAUGGAUCCGCGCCGCAUUAGCUAGUUGGUAAGGUAACGGCUUACCAAGGCAACGAUGCAUAGCCGACCUGAGAGGGUGAUCGGCCACACUGGAACUGAGACACGGUCCAGACUCCUACGGGAGGCAGCAGUAGGGAAUCUUCCGCAAUGGGCGAAAGCCUGACGGAGCAACGCCGCGUGAGUGAUGAAGGUCUUCGGAUCGUAAAACUCUGUUAUUAGGGAAGAACAAAUGUGUAAGUAACUAUGCACGUCUUGACGGUACCUAAUCAGAAAGCCACGGCUAACUACGUG